CUAAUUUCAGCAUCAUGUUUACUAAAAUUGGGACAGUGCAGAGAAGAUUAGCCUGGUCCCCGCACAGGGUGACAUGCAAAUUUGCGAAGCAUUCCAUAUUGCA
Molecule: small nuclear RNA, 103 nt
Organism: Nycticebus coucang (slow loris)
Lineage: Eukaryota; Metazoa; Chordata; Mammalia; Primates; Lorisidae
Source: RefSeq, a predicted model, not a curated record